Molecule: transfer RNA, 70 nt
Filed under: Erinaceus europaeus (western European hedgehog)
Lineage: Eukaryota; Metazoa; Chordata; Mammalia; Eulipotyphla; Erinaceidae
Rfam family: tRNA
About the family: Transfer RNA (tRNA) molecules are approximately 80 nucleotides in length. Their secondary structure includes four short double-helical elements and three loops (D, anti-codon, and T loops).
Source: Rfam by way of RNAcentral
GAGGAGGUAGCUCAGUGGCAGAGUACAGGACUUGCAUUGCUGAGGUUCUGAGUUCAUAUCUCUCUCUUCU